This 24-nucleotide non-coding RNA is filed under the name Arabidopsis thaliana (thale cress). Lineage: Eukaryota; Viridiplantae; Streptophyta; Magnoliopsida; Brassicales; Brassicaceae. The record is from RNAcentral.
GCGAAUCACAGGACUCCGGAUUUG